Molecule: small nucleolar RNA, 135 nt
Filed under: Hippocampus comes (tiger tail seahorse)
Lineage: Eukaryota; Metazoa; Chordata; Actinopteri; Syngnathiformes; Syngnathidae
Description: Small nucleolar RNA SNORA9 (ENSHCOG00000012646.1)
Source: RNAcentral
CUGCAGACCUUCCAUGGAGGACUGAGCCUGCACGUGCUCCGUUCUUUCCUAAAGUGUCUGCUAAAAUGAUGUGAGGCUGUUUGAGGCUCCGCUGUGGCUCUUCAUAGUGGGGUUAUAGGUAAACCUCCGACAAAU